AAAAAUAAUGAUAAUAUUUUAAAUACUCUUUUACCAGCCAUUAAUUUUUGGUUAAACUUCAAAUACCUCUGUAUGGUUUCACACUUUCUCACUUUAGUACUCUGUGAUUUAAAGUGUAUCAAAUUAGCCCCUGUGGUUUUGCACUUUCUCAUUUUAGUACCCUAUGGUUUAAAGUAUAUCAAGUUAUUACCAUAUGAUUUUUUUUCUUUUUAUUAUUCAUUUCACUAAUUUUUUUCGCUAAAUCAGUGACAAAGUUAAAAUUAAAGGAUACAAAAGUGAAUAUUUGAUAAACCUAGGUAGAGUAUCUGAAGUUUUUUGUAUAUAAUUUAACGAAAUAUUAACGGAGGAAAAAAAUCAGUGACAAAAUUAAAACUAAAGGGUACCAAAAUAAAUAUUCGAUAAACCUAGGUAGCGUAUCCGAAAUUUUUUGUAUAUAAUUUAACGAAAUAUUAACAGAGGAGCCGAUGAAAAGAGAAAAAUGAAACCACAUGGUACUAAAUUGAUGCAUUUUAAAUGAGAGGGUACUAAAGUAAGAAAGUGCGAAACCACGGGGUACUAAAUUGAUAUACUUUAAAUCAUAUGGCACUAAAGUGAAAAAAUGCAAAACCACGGGGGUGGUAUUUGAAGUUUUUCCUUAAUUUUUAUAAAAAAUUGCAUAAUUUAAUAGAUUAGU
RNAcentral lists this long non-coding RNA (673 nucleotides) under Ananas comosus (pineapple). RNAcentral describes it as "long non-coding RNA (ACOM_LNC016142)". The record is from RNAcentral. Lineage: Eukaryota; Viridiplantae; Streptophyta; Magnoliopsida; Poales; Bromeliaceae.